CAACACCGCGUGAGUGAAGAAGGGUUUCGGCUCGUAAAGCUCUGUUGUUGGAGAAGAACGUGCGUGAGAGUAACUGUUCACGCAGUGACGGUAUCCAACCAGAAAGUCACGGCUAACUACGUGCCAGCAGCCGCGGUAAUACGUAGGUGGCAAGCGUUAUCCGGAUUUAUUGGGCGUAAAGCGAGCGCAGGCGGUUGCUUAGGUCUGAUGUGAAAGCCUUCGGCUUAACCGAAGAAGUGCAUCGGAAACCGGGCGACUUGAGUGCAGAAGAGGACAGUGGAACUCCAUGUGUAGCGGUGGAAUGCGUAGAUAUAUGGAAGAACAUCAGUGGCGAAGGCGGCUGUCUGGUCUGCAACUGACGCUGAGGCUCGAAAGCAUGGGUAGCGAACAGGAUUAGAUACCCUGGUAGUCCAUGCCGUAAACGAUGAGUGCUAGGUGUUGGAGGGUUUCCGCCCUUCAGUGCCGGAGCUAACGCAUUAAGCACUCCGCCUGGGGAGUACGACCGCAAGGUUGAAACUCAAAGGAAUUGACGGGGGCCCGCACAAGCGGUGGAGCAUGUGGUGUAAUUCGAAGCUACGCGAAGAACCUUACCAGGUCUUGACAUCUUGCGCUAACCUAAGAGAUUAGGCGUUCCCUUCGGGGACGCAAUGACAGGUGGUGCAUGGUCGUCGUCAGCUCGUGUCGUGAGAUGUUGGGGUUAAGUCCCGCGAACGAGCGCAACC
This 722-nucleotide ribosomal RNA is filed under the name Limosilactobacillus vaginalis. RNAcentral describes it as "bacterial SSU rRNA". It matches the Rfam family "Bacterial small subunit ribosomal RNA", at positions 392 to 1103 of the family's 1533-position model. The record is from RNAcentral. Lineage: Bacteria; Bacillati; Bacillota; Bacilli; Lactobacillales; Lactobacillaceae.